AACUAACCAACCACUCCGGCCAGAUUCCCCCCCUCUCUCUCUCUCUCUCUCUCUCAACGAGCUAGAGUGUUAAAUUCCUACUUUGCUUUGAUAUUCUGAACGUGUUGAAUUCAUACUUUGCUUUGAUCUGACUGCCAAACAAGAGAGAGAAGUCAUACUUUGCUUUGAUCGGAGUGUGUUAAAUUCAUGCUUAAUUUGCGUUGAUCUGAGCGCCAAACAAGAGAGGGAGAGAGAGAGAGAGACAGAUGGGAAGUUUAGGCGAGCAAUUUGACGUGAUAGUGGUCGGAGCCGGAGUGAUGGGCAGCUCCGCCGCAUACCAAUUGGCCAAAAGGGGCAAGAAAGUCCUGCUCCUGGAGCAAUUCGAUUUCCUGCACCACUGCGGCUCUUCCCACGGUGAGUCCAGGACCCUCCGGGCAACCUACCCGGAAGCCUUCUACCCGGCCAUGGUUAUGGAGUCCGUCAAACUCUGGCAAGAAGCCGAGUCCGAAAUAGGCUACAAAGUCUACUUCAAGACCAAGCAGCUGGACAUGGGCCCUACCGACGACGCCUCCCUCCUCGCCGUCGUCGCCAGCUGCCAACUUAAUUCGAUUCCCCAUCGCGUCCUCAACCCCCGCCAGCUGCUAGACGAAUUUUCCGACCGGUUCCAACUGCCGGAAAGCUGGGUGGCGGUGGUGACUGAGGUGGGCGGCGUGAUCAAGCCCACGAAGGCAGUCUCAAUGUAUCAAACACUUGCCCUCAGGUACGGCGCCGUUUUGAAGGACAACAUGGAAGUGACUGGUAUAGAGAAAGACGGCGUCAAUGGCGGCGGCGGCGGCCUCGUGGUGAGUACAGUGAACGGAGAAACUUUUUGGGGCCACAAAUGCGUGGUGACGGCCGGCGCUUGGACGAAGAAGCUGGUGCAGAGAGUUCGCGGGAUGGCGCUGCCCAUCGAGGCGGUGGAAACCAACGUGUUGUACUGGCGGAUCAAGGAGGAGCACGAGGCGGCGUUCACCAUCGCCGGCGGCUUCCCGACGUUCGCCAGCUACGGCCGGCCUUACAUCUACGGGACGCCGGCGUUGGAAUACCCGGGACUGAUCAAAAUUCCGCUGCACGGAGGGGUGGCCUGCGAUCCGGGGAGGAGGGCGUGGAGGGAGCCGGCGCCGGCGACCUUGGAGUCGGUGAGGGAAUGGAUUCGGGGGACAUUCGGGGAGCGAGUGGACGCGGCGGGGCCGGCGAUGACUCAGUCGUGCCUGUAUUCGAUGACCCCAGAUGAGGAUUUCGUGAUAGAUUUCUUGGGGGGGGAGCUGGGGGAGGACGUGGUGGUCGCCGGCGGGUUUUCAGGGCACGGGUUCAAGAUGGCGCCGGCGGUGGGGAGGAUAGUUGCUGACAUGGUGAUGACGGGGGAGGCCCAGGGCGUGGAAUUACAGCAGUUUGAGUUGGGAAGGUUUGGAAGGAACCCCAAGGGAAAUGUCAAGAGCUUUCAAGAGCAAGUGGGAAUCGUCACUCAUCACUGAAGCCGCCAAAUCUUGGCAGUGGCUGACCGCUCACCAUUUCUUUUUUUAUUUUUUAUUGCACGUGAUCUGCGUGUGCCAGCUCACCUUCACAAAAUGACAAAUGGGCCAUCACGAAUAAUGCUAUUCGGCCCAUAAUAUGAAUUUACAAAAAUAACCUUAGGACCCCCCGCGCGCGCACCCACCCACUCGAGAUCUCAAUCUCUCCCUCACACACACACCCCAGGACACACAAACACACACACACACCCCCACCCGAGGUCUCAAUCUCUCUCUCACACACACACCCCAAAUGUCUCAAUCUCUCACACUCACACACACCAAAGGUCUCUCUCUCUCUCUCACAGACACACACCCCCACCCGAGGUCUUAAUCUCUCACACACAUACACCCCAAAGGUCUCAAUCUCUCUCUCACACACACUCCAGAGGUCUCAAUUUCUUACUCUGUCUCUCUCACACACACAUCAACACUCACUAGAGGUCUCAAUCUCUCAUUCUCUUUCUCUCUAUUUGUUUCCUCUCAUUUUGGUUGUCGUUGUCUCUCUCUUCUGACAACCUUUGGGUUGGUUUAGCACAAGCAUUACCUACCUCUGUCUCUCUGUAUCUUAGCGAGGAAGCUGCGAUUAUCCAUCUUUUGGGCUCACUCUAGCUUUCUUUCUGUCUUUCUCGUCCGUCGAACGUCUCCACUGGUUCCGAUCUACAAGGAGGAUCUGAUCGUGUAAAUUUUCGGCCGACGAUGGUCACUAGCAGCGUUGGUGGUGACGAUUAUGACUUCCGUACAUAUAUACAUACAUAUUAUUUGUAUUUUAUAAUUAUUUUAGUUUAUAUUAUGAAUGUUAAUAUUUAAUUAUGAAUUUGUAUUGAAGUUAUUGAAGUUGAAUAUUAAAUUUGUGAUCUUUGAAUAUUUGGAAGGUUAAAAUUGAAUUGAGUUGGUUGAAAUUUAAAUAUUCAUAAAUUGAAUUGGUUUGUAUUUGUUUUGUGAA
This is an RNA transcript of Diospyros lotus (date-plum), 2475 nucleotides long. It is a transcript of the gene named probable sarcosine oxidase, with no coding region annotated. The transcript has 3 exons. NCBI's taxonomy places the organism in Eukaryota, Viridiplantae, Streptophyta, Magnoliopsida, Ericales, Ebenaceae. The record is from RefSeq and is a predicted model, not a curated record.